RNAcentral lists this transfer RNA (72 nucleotides) under Heliconius melpomene (postman butterfly). RNAcentral describes it as "tRNA HMEL003288". The record is from RNAcentral. Lineage: Eukaryota; Metazoa; Arthropoda; Insecta; Lepidoptera; Nymphalidae.
CACAAUAUGAUUUAGUGGUUAAAGCGCUUGGACGGUAUCCAAGAGGGGCGGGUUUAAAUCUCGCUGCAGUCA